AGUGAACGCUGGCGGUGGGCCUAACACAUGCAAGUCGAACGGCAGCACAGAGGAGCUUGCUCCUUGGGUGGCGAGUGGCGGACGGGUGAGGAAUACAUCGGAAUCUACUCUGUCGUGGGGGAUAACGUAGGGAAACUUACGCUAAUACCGCAUACGACCUACGGGUGAAAGCAGGGGAUCUUCGGACCUUGCGCGAUUGAAUGAGCCGAUGUCGGAUUAGCUAGUUGGCGGGGUAAAGGCCCACCAAGGCGACGAUCCGUAGCUGGUCUGAGAGGAUGAUCAGCCACACUGGAACUGAGACACGGUCCAGACUCCUACGGGAGGCAGCAGUGGGGAAUACUGGACAAUGGGCGCAAGCCUGAUCCAGCCAUACCGCGUGGUGAAGAAGGCCUUCGGGUUGUAAAGCCCUUUUGUUGGGAAAGAAAUCCAUCUGGUUAAUACCCGGGUGGGAUGACGGUACCCAAAGAAUAAGCACCGGCUAACUACGUGCCAGCCGCCGCGGUAA
This 505-nucleotide ribosomal RNA is filed under the name uncultured bacterium. RNAcentral's name for it is "partial 16S ribosomal RNA". It matches the Rfam family "Bacterial small subunit ribosomal RNA", at positions 29 to 523 of the family's 1533-position model. The record is from RNAcentral.